UGGGGAAUCUUGCGCAAUGGGCGAAAGCCUGACGCAGCGACGCCGCGUGGGGGAAGAAGGCUUUCGGGUUGUAAACCCCUUUCAGGAGGGACGAAGCCACUCAGGUUAAUAGCCGAGAGGGUGACGGUACCUCCAGAAGAAGCCCCGGCUAACUACGUGCCAGCAGCCGCGGUAAUACGUAGGGGGCAAGCGUUGUCCGGAUUUAUUGGGCGUAAAGAGCGUGUAGGCGGCCAGAUAAGUCUGCUGUGGAAACUCGAGGCUCAACCUCGAGCUGUCGGCGGAAACUAUUUGGCUAGAGUCCGGAAGAGGAAAGCGGAAUUCCUGGUGUAGCGGUGAAAUGCGCAGAUAUCAGGAAGAACACCCGUGGCGAAGGCGGCUUUCUGGGACGGUACUGACGCUGAGACGCGAAAGCGUGGGGAGCGAAC
RNAcentral lists this ribosomal RNA (425 nucleotides) under uncultured bacterium. Its description in RNAcentral is "bacterial SSU rRNA". It matches the Rfam family "Bacterial small subunit ribosomal RNA", at positions 355 to 773 of the family's 1533-position model. The record is from RNAcentral.